This is a long non-coding RNA of Astyanax mexicanus (Mexican tetra), 688 nucleotides long. RefSeq lists it as uncharacterized. The record is from RefSeq and is a predicted model, not a curated record. Lineage: Eukaryota; Metazoa; Chordata; Actinopteri; Characiformes; Acestrorhamphidae. The transcript has 2 exons.
AUCUGCAGUAGCCAUGGAAACUAUACAUUUUUAAAACUAAAUGUAACCUACAUAAGAAAUAAAUGUAUAUAUAUAUAAUAAAUAUAUACUUAAGGGCUAUAGUAGAAAUCUAUGAACAGGUUUGUAUAUAAUUAGUUUACAUAUGCAGAUAGUAUGUUUGUAGUUAAAUUAGGUGUACGCUUGGGCCGAUCAGAAGAGUACCAGGAUCGCUACAGAGCUCGGAUGACUAGCUACUCAAGGAAACAACUUGGCACUGUUGGACAUUGAAAAAUGCAUUCACAAUUUAUUACAAUCAGGUAAGAAAAUAAAAAAACAUAUAAAACAAAGAAUAUAGAUAAUUCUAACCCGGGUAGAAAAAUAAAUAUAAAUUCUUAGGAAAAUAUUCAAAAUGUUCAAUGUAACAAUAUAAUUAACUCAAUUAGAAAUGGAUUUAGAAUUCAAUAACAAUACAGAAUGUGUUUGUUUGUGUGAGUGUUAAUGUCCUUUGCUCUUUUGUUCCACAGGUGAUGGAUUCAGUCCAUGGAGUUUGCAAUGGUAAGUGUUCCUCCUACCAGUUCACAGAGCUCAAAAACAAGGAUCAGUUCACAGGGAGUCCACGGAAAGUAGAAAAACCCUCUAGGUUAGGGUCUGGGAGGCUCGCCAUCAAAUGGUUUGUCCAACUUGAUCGUCCGAUCAAAAAACCCUGACC